UCAAAGAUGGCGACUGAAUGUCAGGGGUCGAUGAAGACGCGUCUUCAUCCAGCUUCUUUAAUUAAGUUAAAUAAGUUAAAAAACUAAUGUGAGAAGCUUUGGUGGGAGACAGCGACUGUUAAAGCUUCAGAUGACACACAACUCAUAUCUGAAUCUCCGUCUCUAUACAGCUCUUGAAACAAAGGAUUAUCUGUGACCUAACAUUACUGACGUUAACAUGACAAAGAGGCAUACAUUUGUCCAGUCCACACAGAGUAAAACGAUAGGAUCUGCUGUUAAAACUAAAAAGGUCAAAGGUAUGCCACCUUAAGACAACACAACGUGGAAAAAAGCCUGUAAAACAAAGAUGCAACAGCAGUAAAAGAGAUACAUUAAAGUAUCAAUCUUUCAAAAUUCCUAUCUGUAAGUAAUAAAGUUUGUUG
This is a non-coding RNA of Misgurnus anguillicaudatus (oriental weatherfish), 422 nucleotides long. Lineage: Eukaryota; Metazoa; Chordata; Actinopteri; Cypriniformes; Cobitidae. The record is from RefSeq and is a predicted model, not a curated record.